RNAcentral lists this microRNA precursor (189 nucleotides) under Oryza sativa Indica Group (long-grained rice). RNAcentral's name for it is "MIR812 microRNA precursor family". It matches the Rfam family "MIR812 microRNA precursor family". The record is from Rfam by way of RNAcentral. Lineage: Eukaryota; Viridiplantae; Streptophyta; Magnoliopsida; Poales; Poaceae.
AAUAAGUGCAGUUUUACACUGUUUAUGUCCAACGAUCGCCUUUUUUAUUAUUAGUAUUUUUAUUGUUAUUCGAUAAUAAAACAUGAAUAGUAUUUUAUAUGUGACUAAUAUUUUAAUUUUUUUUCAUAAAUUUUUUAAAUAAAACAAAAGGUCGAACGUUAAACACGGAUACCCACGACUACACUUAUU